CAUAAUCUCUGAGGAGAAAAGCAGGGGAUCGCAAGACCUUGCGCUUUUGGAGCGGCCGAUGCCUGAUUAGCUUGUUGGUAAGGUAAAAGCUUACCAAGGCUUCGAUCAGUAGCUGGUCUGAGAGGACGACCAGCCACACUGGGACUGAGACACGGCCCAGACUCCUACGGGAGGCAGCAGUGGGGAAUUUUGGACAAUGGGGGCAACCCUGAUCCAGCCAUGCCGCGUGAGUGAAGAAGGCCUUCGGGUUGUAAAGCUCUUUCAGCCGGAACGAAACGGUUACGGUUAAUACCUGUGACUAAUGACGGUACCGGAAGAAGAAG
RNAcentral lists this ribosomal RNA (323 nucleotides) under uncultured beta proteobacterium. RNAcentral describes it as "bacterial SSU rRNA". It matches the Rfam family "Bacterial small subunit ribosomal RNA", at positions 172 to 490 of the family's 1533-position model. The record is from RNAcentral. Lineage: Bacteria; Pseudomonadati; Pseudomonadota; Betaproteobacteria.